RNAcentral lists this non-coding RNA (85 nucleotides) under Thermoanaerobacterium sp. RBIITD. The record is from RNAcentral. Lineage: Bacteria; Bacillati; Bacillota; Clostridia; Thermoanaerobacterales; Thermoanaerobacteraceae.
GAAAGCCGUAUGAGGCGAAAGUCUCACGUACGGUUUGGAGUGGGGGAAAAGGCAGAGAUAACAUCAAAGCCUGACCUAUCACUAC